This 65-nucleotide transfer RNA is filed under the name Dipodomys ordii (Ord's kangaroo rat). It matches the Rfam family "tRNA". From Rfam's summary of the family: Transfer RNA (tRNA) molecules are approximately 80 nucleotides in length. Lineage: Eukaryota; Metazoa; Chordata; Mammalia; Rodentia; Heteromyidae. The record is from Rfam by way of RNAcentral.
GGUGGCUCAGUGGUAGAGUGCUUGCCUUGCAUGCAUGAGAGUCUGGGUUCAAUUCCUCAGCACCA